RNAcentral lists this ribosomal RNA (481 nucleotides) under uncultured bacterium. Its description in RNAcentral is "partial 16S ribosomal RNA". It matches the Rfam family "Bacterial small subunit ribosomal RNA", at positions 28 to 508 of the family's 1533-position model. The record is from RNAcentral.
GAUGAACGCUGGCGGCGUGCUUAACACAUGCAAGUCGAACGAAACACCUUAUUUGAUUUUCUUCGGAACUGAAGAUUUGGUGAUUGAGUGGCGGACGGGUGAGUAACGCGUGGGUAACCUGCCCUGUACAGGGGGAUAACAGUCAGAAAUGACUGCUAAUACCGCAUAAGACCACAGCACCGCAUGGUGCAGGGGUAAAAACUCCGGUAGUACAGGAUGGACCCGCGUCUGAUUAGCUGGUUGGUGAGGUAACGGCUCACCAAGGCGACGAUCAGUAGCCGGCUGGGGAGGGGGGACGGCAAAGGGGGACAAGAGCAACGCCCAAAACCCACAGGGGAGGAGGAGGGGGGGAAUAUUGAAAAAGGGGGAAAACCUGAAUGCGCCGACGCGGGGGGAGAAAAAAGUUUUUCGGGUAUGAAAACCUCUAUCAGAAGGAAAAAAAAUGAGGUACCCUAACAAAAAGCCCCGGGCAAACUCGGUC